GAUGAACGCUGGCGGCGUGCCUAAUACAUGCAAGUCGAGCGAACGGACGAGAAGCUUGCUUCUCUGAUGUUAGCGGCGGACGGGUGAGUAACACGUGGAUAACCUACCUAUAAGACUGGGAUAACUUCGGGAAACCGGAGCUAAUACCGGAUAAUAUUUUGAACCGCAUGGUUCAAAAGUGAAAGACGGUCUUGCUGUCACUUAUAGAUGGAUCCGCGCUGCAUUAGCUAGUUGGUAAGGUAACGGCUUACCAAGGCAACGAUGCAUAGCCGACCUGAGAGGGUGAUCGGCCACACUGGAACUGAGACACGGUCCAGGCGCCUACGGGAGGCAGCAGUAGGGAAUCUUCCGCAAUGGGCGAAAGCCUGACGGAGCAACGCCGCGUGAGUGAUGAAGGUCUUCGGAUCGUAAAACUCUGUUAUUAGGGAAGAACAUAUGUGUAAGUAACUGUGCACAUCGUGACGGUACCUAAUCAGAAAGCCACGGCUAACUACGUG
This 497-nucleotide ribosomal RNA is filed under the name uncultured bacterium. Its description in RNAcentral is "partial 16S ribosomal RNA". It matches the Rfam family "Bacterial small subunit ribosomal RNA", at positions 28 to 507 of the family's 1533-position model. The record is from RNAcentral.